UUGGACGCCAACUCUUUCUUUCCCCAAGUCUUUCUUCCCGUAGACCACCAACUAUUUAUUUCUUCCCUCUCGCUCAUCUCUCCCUCUCUCUUUCUCGUGAACACCAAAUCUUGAACCCAAAUCCAACCACCAUGCGAAACGACGGGUCGCCAUGCGACUCUCGAAGCCGACGCGAAUCAAGUCCCAAAAUCAAGGAACUGUUAUACCUUAAGGAGGGAACACUUAUAGAAGGAACUGUCAGGAAAAACUAACAGAAGUGUAUAGAUGUCUCAGUUGAUCACUCGUCGUCGGAGUGUGACCAAUGCGCCUCCCGCAUUAUUAGCAUCUAUUGCUCUAGCCGUGAGUGCUCCAUUGAUUGGGGAGCCUACACCCCUUACUGAGGCUACUCCUACGGCGUCCCAGGUGCCUGUCUCAUCAACGUCAUCAGUGUCGGUUCAACCGUUCAAUGCACGGCGGCCUCACUGGUGCCCUCGCGAGCCGGAGCCUUCUGAUCAAACUUCCUCGGCAUCCAGAGUCGAGGUUAAAAAAAACACCAGGGGCCUAGUUGAAUGCUGAAGCAGGCACAGAACGCACAUCAGGCCGCCUCCAAGAUCAAGAUUGUGUAUGACUCGCAAUAUCGUGGAACGGCUACCUCACAGGAGCAUAGCAGCGUCGCUAGUAGCUGUGGUGUUGUUAUUCGACAAAAUUGUCCUUUUCAAUGGGAGUCUUGGGCAGAAAUUCCCGAGGAGAUGAAGAAACUGGUCAUUUAUGAUCUUCAGGACAUAUCCCCCGAGACCAUGGCCUACUUAGAGGAGAUCUUAGCAACCCGGUACAAACAUUGGAAGAACAAUUUUCACACGUAUUUUAAGUGAUGGGAUGAUCCGGAGAUUGCUCGCCUACAUGUUCCAAGCGAGUUGCAGGAUCGGUCGGAGGAUUGGGAGUGACUUUGCAAACAUUUUACGGACCCAAAAUUUGUGACGAAAUCUAUUGCUGGCAAGAAAGCUUGGGAGUCAAAGAAACUUCUCCACCAUUCCGGUUCUAAGCCCUUUUCGUAUAGGCUUAAGGCACGACGUUAGGAGGGUUCUAAGUUCCCAAAGAGCGACAUGUUCAAGGACGUUUACGUUCGACCUGGUAAUGAGACCACUGAGCAGCUUCAUUUGCUAUGGUGGAAAAAAGCACUGCUGUUCUCCAAGAAGCAACAUUGCAGCUUCCCCUGGAGACCCCGAUUGAGGACGUCACGGUACCCGAGGAUGUAGGUUUCAAAUCAUGACUAAUGUCCUGGAUCAUAACUUUGGUUGUCGUCAUGGCAAGGUUGUUCCAUGUAUGGGGAAAGUGCGGGUUCGUGAGACGGGUGCCUCUUCUUCCAGAUCGAACACAGCAGAAGUUGAUGCAUUGAAGGAGGAAGUGACAACCCUAAAAGGUCAGUUUGCAGCCCAGGGCGAGGAGAUGAGGGCCUAUGCCGGGAUGGUGAGAGACCUUGUACGAGCCAUACAGAUGUCCGGCCUCCAAAUCUCGCUACCAGCAAUUCAUCUUGCUCCACAUUCGAUCUCAGAGCCAUCUCGCCCUACUGAUACCCAGUAGCCUAAUGUAUCAAACCUAGAAGACUACUUGUAGUUUUUUCUUUUUUGUUCGGACAUCUUGUAUGUACAUUUUCAUAUAUUUUAU
This 1644-nucleotide small RNA is filed under the name Malus domestica (apple). Its description in RNAcentral is "sRNA MD01G0114500". Lineage: Eukaryota; Viridiplantae; Streptophyta; Magnoliopsida; Rosales; Rosaceae. The record is from RNAcentral.